UAUGAGAUAAGCACUCCCUAUCGGUCCA
Molecule: small RNA, 28 nt
Filed under: Bombyx mori (domestic silkworm)
Lineage: Eukaryota; Metazoa; Arthropoda; Insecta; Lepidoptera; Bombycidae
Description: piRNA piR-bmo-1446563
Source: RNAcentral